UUUUGAUGGGAUCCGGUGAUUUAGUGCUGGCAUUAUCGAACCCAUUUCGCGUGCUUCGUCCCUCGCCUAUGUGCACGUCGCGGUCGGCGCAUCAACGUCCGGAGCCUCUUGCCCGUCACGAAACCGUCGGCACUUUAUCGAACGUUCACGAAAUCCCUAUUGUAAGAUCUCUCCGAGCCCUAGCCCGACGACUGCGUAUCGGUCAUGGCAAGCGCGUGCCGAAACCAUCGGCACUUUCUAGAACGAUCUCGGAAUCGCUAUUGCGACCCCAAUCCAGAAAGCUCUCUUCGAGCCCCUCG
Molecule: long non-coding RNA, 299 nt
Filed under: Musa acuminata (dwarf banana)
Lineage: Eukaryota; Viridiplantae; Streptophyta; Magnoliopsida; Zingiberales; Musaceae
Description: long non-coding RNA (MACU_LNC006960)
Source: RNAcentral